AACCAUAGAAACCUGCGGAGUACCUGCGGAGGGAUCAUUAUAGUAUAUGGAAUCUCCAUUCUAUAAACCCACUCUGCGUAUCUUGUAACUGUUGCUUCCAUGGGACUUGGUUCCGCCACACCGGCCUCACGGCUGGUGAGCGCCCAUGGAAGGAGAAACAAAACUCUUCUUUGAAAUGUAGUCAGUCUGAACAAGUUUUUAUAAACGUUAAAACUUUUAGCAAUGGAUCUCAGAUCGGAA
This 240-nucleotide unclassified non-coding RNA is filed under the name soil metagenome. RNAcentral's name for it is "partial contains 5.8S ribosomal RNA, internal transcribed spacer 2, and large subunit ribosomal RNA". The record is from RNAcentral.